Long non-coding RNA from Bombyx mori (domestic silkworm), 961 nucleotides. RefSeq lists it as uncharacterized. Lineage: Eukaryota; Metazoa; Arthropoda; Insecta; Lepidoptera; Bombycidae. The record is from RefSeq and is a predicted model, not a curated record. The transcript is spliced from 3 exons.
AAACUUUGUCGCCCGACACAAAUAGGGAACCGUACUUAAAAACACUGCUGAACGCAACUUUGUUGAGAAUGGUGACAUUUGGAGUCAAAAUAAAAAAUACAUAUUUAAUUGCUACCCGUAGCCCUCUCGACAUCGAUUAACAUUGCUAGCAAAAUUUAUAUAUAGCUGAGUGUUACGGAAGAUGAAAUUGGAAACUGCGAUUACGAUUCGAUAACUUAUAACAGUCAGUCUCUAAAACGUUAGUUUAGAAAAGGAAGCAUCGUAAAGUUCUUACAACACCGGAAAUUUAGGGAUUAUAGUAAUAAAUUAAUAAAGAACCAAAAGUUUAUAUGAAGUCAAAGAGAAUAUCAAUAGAAAAAGUCUUAUGGCACGUUUCAAUGAAUAUACCUACGGAGAUCCAACCUAAGGAGGAUUGACAUCAAGCAUACGGCUGAUUGUAAAAAUAAAUAGCAUUUACGAGGGCAUGCUGCGCCGACCCCACAUAAUGUAAGCAUCGUAACCGCUUCUUCCGAUAUACUUUUCAGUCUCAUUUUAUAAGAUCUUAACUUUUUAUUGUAAAUAAACAUUAAAUUUAUUAAAUACAUACAAAUAAACUGCGUUCAAUGAAAAAUGAAAUGGAGCGAAAUGAAAUAAAGUCGAUUGGUCUGAAAUUGAAUGUAAUGAAAAGAAUGAGAUGAAAUGAAAUACUUAGUCAUAAAAUAAUAAAAUGUAAAAUAAAAUAAAAUGACAGGAAAUGACUUGGACUUUUCAGAAGAUUAUGAGAAGCAACAAUCAGCGAUAUUUAUAUAUUUUUUCGAUACAUAUUCACUUACAAGUUAGCUAAAUGGCAACCACUAUUACACGUUUAAGCAAGAAGAAAUACUACAUACCUAAUUAAACAAAACUUGCAUUCCUGCUAAAAAAAAUAUUGAGAUUGUAAUCGCCACUCUCGAGUACUUCUGAGUAAAUAUGUUUCAAUACA